Molecule: long non-coding RNA, 11771 nt
Filed under: Ananas comosus (pineapple)
Lineage: Eukaryota; Viridiplantae; Streptophyta; Magnoliopsida; Poales; Bromeliaceae
Description: long non-coding RNA (ACOM_LNC008979)
Source: RNAcentral
GCUUAGGGGUUAGAGAUGUAAGAAAUAAACUUGUAAUAAUUAGGAUUGUAUUUGGAAGUUGAGGAUGUAUUGCAAAUAAUGUAAUAUAAAUGUGAAUGCUUAUAAUAGCAUAGGAUUUAUGUUGUUUGAUACCUUCCUUAUGCAAUCGUUGUCUGAAUACUGUUCCUGGUUGGAACCUGUUGUAAUUGUAUUGAUUGCGACGCCUUGGACGUACAGGGGAAACUCUGUCCGUUCGGCGGUCUGUCGGUGUGCCGAAUCUGACGAAAUAGGCGGGGCUCGGGGCGUGACAGAUAUAGUGGGGACUUAAUUUUCCGCGAACACCGAACCGCUUAACUCCUCGCAUCGGCGAUACCUUUAGAAAUACGCGGUCUCCUACCGCGAACUCAAUGUCCUUUCGCCGCUUGUCGGCAUAACUCUUGUGCCGGGACUGCGCCGUCACCAACCUUUGUCCGGCAAGGCGGACUUUCUCCUCCGCCUCUGGCACCACGUCGGGGCCAAGAACCAUUUUCUCGCCCACGUCGCUCCAAUGUAUUGGCGAGCGACACUUCCUUCCGUAAAGGGCCUCGAAUGGCGCCAUCGCAAUACUUUCUUGAUAGCUAUUGUUAUAUGCGAAUUCCGCCAUCGGUAAAUGAUCGUGCCAUCCGCCCUUAUAGUCAAGUACACACGCUCGAAGCAUCUCCUCAAGUAUUUGAAUAGUCCUCUCCGAUUGACCGUCACUUUGAGGAUGGAAUGUCGUGCUAAAAUCGAGCCGUGUGCCCAAUGCAUCUUGCAAGCUCUUCCAAAAAUGAGAUGUGAACCUAGGGUCUCGAUCCGAUACAAUAGAUACCGGAACCCUGUGAAGCCUCACCACCUCGUCAACAUAGACUUGAGCCAACUUGUCUCCCGACCAAGUAGUGUGGAUCGGCAAAAAGUGUGCCGAUUUGGUCAACCGGUCCACAACUACCCAAAUCGCGUCGUGUCCACCUUGUGAUCUAGGCAAGCCUGUCACAAAAUCCAUUGCGAUAUUUUUUCAUUUCCACACGGGUAUUGGUAGAUUUUGUAACUUUCCCACUGGAAAUCGACGUUCCGCCUUAACUUGUUGGCACGUGAGGCACUGCGCCACGAACUUCCCUAUGUCUUUCUUCAUGCCCGGCCACCAAUAAUGUAACUUCAAGUCUCGAUAUAUUUUGGUGCCGCCCGGGUGUAUACUGUAGGGAGAUUGAUGCGCUUCUUGCAUAAUCGCCUUCCGAAGGUCGUCGUCCUUGGAUACGCACCAACGAUCUCGAUAUCGUAGUGUGCUGUCGGUUCCAAUGACGAAAUCAUCGGCAUUACCGCUCUCAACUUUACUCCGCACCUUUUGGAGAAAUUCAUCCGACGCUUGUAGUCCUUUAAUCUUCUCCAACAAGGUUGGCUGCACAACCAGGGUGGCAAGUGUUGCCGGCACCCCCGGCGCCACAACCUCCAGACCAAACCGUUGCAUCUCCCUUUGCAACGCCGGUUGGGGCGUAACUUGCGUCGCCAAAUUUUCCGCCGACUUUCUACUUAGAGCAUCGGCCACGACGUUUGCUUUCACGGGGUGGUAGAGGAUCGUGACAUCAUAAUCCUUGAGCAACUCUAACCACCGCCGCUGUCGCAAGUUUAACUCCUUUUGGGUGAACAAGUAUUUGAGACUCUUAUGAUCAGUGUAAAUCUCACAAUGUUCCCCAUAUAAGUAAUGCCUCCACAAUUUUAGCGUGAAUAUAACCGCCGCUAGCUCAAGGUCGUGAGUCGGGUAGUUCUUUUCAUAAUUCUUCAGUUGGCGCGAAGCAUAAGCUAUGACUGGGCCGUUUUGCAUUAAGACACACCCGAGUCCCAUGUACAAGGCAUCAUUGUACACGACAUAGCUCUCUCCCGGUGUCGGCAAGGCAAGCACGGGAGUAGAUGUUAAUCUAGUCUUUAGCUCUUCAAAGCUCCGCUCACACUCGNUCGCCACCCAUUGCCUCGACAAGGCGGCGAAGGUGUGGUGGAAGCGGUUGAAGCGAGAUCGACCCUCUGAUCUUCCACCAAUGCUUUGGGAGGAGUUCAAGAAAGAGAUAUUCGGAAACUACUUCCCCGACACCGAGAAGCGAAAAUUGAAGGAGAGGUUUCGCAAACUGAGACAGGGAGACCGUUCUGUGGCUGACUACGAGCAGGAGUUCUCCCACAUCAUAGACUGCGUCUCGGACGUGGUCAAGGACGACGCGGAUCGAGCCGAGUGGUUCUUGCGAGGACUUCGGCCGUGGAUUUAUAGGGUGGUGCAACUAUUUCAGCUCACAACUUUCGUCGAAGUUUUCAACAAGGCGCUGUGGGCGGAGCAUGGAGAUGCCCAUGUGUGGGAGGAGCGUGAGUUGUUGGCCGGAUCCCAAGACAAGGGGAAGAAGCGAUCGGGCGGCGGUUCGGGGGGACAAUCUAGUUCGAGGAGGCCCCCGAAGCAUUCGCGGUCGCAGUCGUGGGGCCGUGGGCCGCAGCGUUGCCCUAUCUGUGGAGAUCGAGGCCAUCGGGCACCGCAGUGUAGACAACGACAAGGACGGUGCUUUAAUUGUGGACAAGAGGGACAUAUCAGCCGCUAUUGUCCGGCAAGGGCCUCGUCUACCCCGUCGGUCGCAUCGGCUCUAGCGUCCUCGCCUUAUUAGGGAGGGGCCCCCUAUGUCCCCGUGUCAGCAGGACGCGCAUUGGCGCCGCGCCAGCCGGAGGUGACCCGAUCAGCGCCGAGCGGACGGGUAUUCGCCGCUCAGGCCCAAGCCGAGGAGCCUGCCCAAGCCGAGGAGCCUGAUGUUGUGGCAGGUAUGGUUCUAAUCAAUGGAGUUCGCUCCAGAGCUAUGUUCGAUACGGGUGCCACGCAUUCAUUUAUUAGUAGAGCAUUUGCACGCAUGCAUGACAUACCCAUAGAAGCAAGUGGCAAGUGGCGAGUCGAGGGUCCCGAGUUAGCAUUUAACACCUAUACGGAGUGCUCAUCGGUCCGGUGCAAGUGGGUGAUUAGAUAAUGCCUAUUCGGAUGUUGGAACUCACUAAACUGGAGGCGUACGACGUUAUUUUGGGCAUGGACUGGCUCUCGAAGUAUUAUGCCACGAUCGAUUGUAAGAAUAAAUUGAUCACCUUUCGGGAGCCCGGACAGAAGGAGUUCGUUUAUCGAGCUUGUCGGAGUUCUUGCUUCGUCGCGACAGUAUCGGCGACGAGAGCUAGGAAGUUGGUCAGCGGCGGUUGCGCGGCAUUUUUGGCGACCGUCGUGGAGGUGGACCGAGUGGUGCCGAAGUUAGAGGAUUUGUCGGUGGUGCGGGAAUUUUCGGAUGUAUUUCCCACGGAGUUACCGGGGAUGCCACCGGAUCGGGAGAUCGAGUUCGUUAUAGACUUGAUUCCCGGGACAGCGCCAAUCUCAAAGGCCCCAUACCGCAUGGCACCGGCAGAGUUAAGGGAAUUGAGGGAUCAGUUACAAGAUCUUCUCGACAAAGGGUUUAUCCGGCCGAGUGUAUCGCCGUGGGGAGCGCCGGUGUUGUUCGUGCGCAAGAAGGAUGGCUCGUUUCGACUCUGCGUGGAUUAUCGAGAGUUGAAUAAGGUCACAAUUAAGAAUAGGUACCCGUUACCCCGAAUUGAUGACUUGUUCGACCAAUUACAAGGGUCACGAGUGUACUCGAAGAUAGACCUACAAUCCGGCUACCAUCAGUUAAAGAUCAAGCCGGAGGAUAUCCAGAAGACCGCGUUUCGUACGCGUUAUGGACACUACGAGUACACGGUUAUGCCUUUCGGGCUCACUAAUGCCCCGGCUGCAUUCAUGGACCUGAUGAACCGUGUAUUCAAGGCGUGCUUGGACCGAUUCGUCGUGGUUUUCAUAGACGACAUCCUGGUCUAUUCGCGGAACGACGAAGAGCACGCGGAGCAUUUGCGGACGGUGCUUCAAAUCCUUCGGGAGGAGAAGCUAUUCGCAAAGCUGAAGAAGUGUGAUUUCUGGCUUCGAGAGGUUGCCUUCUUGGGGCAUGUAAUUUCCGAGGGCGGUGUUUCGGUUGACCCGAGGAAAGUCGAAGCGGUCGAGAAUUGGCCACGCCCGACGAACGUCACGGAGGUCCGAAGCUUUGUGGGCUUAGCGGGCUAUUAUCGACGGUUUGUGGAGGGCUUUUCGAAGAUUGUAACUCCACUUACCGGUCUGACACAGAAGGGCGUCAAGUUCAUUUGGAGCGACGAGUGUGAUCGAAGCUUCAACGAGUUGAAGAAAAGAUUGACGUCGGCUCCAAUACUCGCCUUACCGGUGCAGGGCGAGGACUUUGUGGUUUAUAGCGACGCAUCCUAUCUGGGCUUGGGGUGUGUUCUGAUGCAAGGCGGGAGGGUGAUAGCUUAUGCAUCCCGUCAGCUGAAAGAUCACGAGAAGAAUUACCCCAUUCAUGACUUGGAGUUGGCCGCGGUGAUCUUCGCGCUGAAGUUGUGGAGGCACUACUUAUACGGUGCACAUUGCGAGAUCUACACCGACCACAAAAGUCUUAAGUACCUGUUUACCCAGAAGGAGCUAAACAUGCGGCAGCGGCGGUGGCUAGAACUAUUAAAGGACUAUGAUGUCGAUAUUCUCUACCACCCCGGCAAAGCAAAUGUGGUCGUGGACGCACUUAGUAGGAAGUCGGCGAAGAACCUCGCUUUCGAUGUUACCCGGCAAACACCCCUAGGGCUAGAAAUGGAGCGGCUGGACCUUGAAGUGGUCGCUCCCGAGGUUCCGGCUCAGCUGAUGGCACUCGUCAUUCAACCGACCUUAUUGGAGAGGAUCAAGAAAUUGCAACCUGCAGAUCCGAGUCUCCAGAAGGUGCGGCGUAAUAUCGAGGAGGGACGAGAUGGCGAUUUUAGUGUGGACGCCGGUGGCGCGCUUUGGUUUCGAAACCGGUGGUGUGUGCCCGAGGAUGAAGGGCUUCGCGAGUUGAUUUUGCAAGAAGCACACCGAUCUCCAUACGCGGAUCACCCGGGCGGCACCAAAAUGUAUCAUGAGUUGAGGGCACUCUAUUGGUGGCCGGGGAUGAAGGCUGAUAUUGGGCGCUUCGUGGCAAAGUGCUUGACUUGUCAGCAAGUAAAGGCGGAGCGCCGGUUUCCAGCGGGAAAGCUUCAAAGUUUACCUAUUCCCGUCUGGAAAUGGGAGGACAUAUCUAUGGAUUUCCUCGUUGGCUUACCUUGCUCGACAGGGGGCCACGACGCAAUCUGGGUGAUCGUGGAUCGCUUGACCAAGUCAGCACACUUUCUACCGAUCCACACCACCUGGGCGGGAGAUAAAUUGGCGCAGGUGUAUCUAGACGAGGUAGUGAGGUUGCAUGGGGUGCCGAAGUCGAUUGUGUCGGAUAGAGACCCCAAGUUUACUUCGCAUUUUUGGAAAAGCCUGCAGGAGGCCCUUGGCACGCGGCUCGAUUUCAGCACUGCAUUUCAUCCCCAGACAGAUGGACAGACUGAAAGAACCAUUCAGACUCUGGAGGAUAUGUUGCGAGCGUGUGCCAUCGACUACAAAGGAGGUUGGUGUAAGUAUUUGCCAAUGGCCGAGUUCGCCUACAACAAUAGUUAUCACGCUAGUGUGGAGAUGGCACCGUUCGAAGCUCUUUAUGGGCGGAAGUGCCGCUCUCCCAUUUAUUGGAGUGACGUGGGCGAGCGCACUGAAUUUGGCCCUGAUGUGCUGCGAGAGGCGGAAGAAAAGGUCCGCUUUGCUCGCAAACAAUUACUCACGGCGCAGUCUCGACAACAGAGCUAUGCGGAUAGGCGCCGACGAGAUCUAGAGUUUACGGUGGGCGACCGUGUCUUCUUGAAGGUCUCGCCUAUGAGGGGUGUAAGGCGGUUUGGAGUUCGGGGAAAGUUGAGUCCCCGAUAUAUUGGCCCCUAUGAAAUCCUGGAGCGGAUUGGGACGGUGGCAUAUCGGCUCGCGUUGCCGCCGAAGCUUGCGGACGUGCACAACGUAUUCCACGUCUCCAAUCUUCGCAAAUACAUCCCUGAUCCCGAGCAUGCGAUGUUAUAUGAACCGCCGGAACUUCAGAAGGACCUGAGCUACGAGGAAUUCCCGGUGGCAAUUACCGCUCGUGAAGUGCGCCAGUUAAGGAAUCGGGAAAUUCCUUAUGUCCGAGUCCGGUGGAGCAAUCAUGAUGAUCGUGAAGCCACCUGGGAGCUUGAGCAGGAGAUGAAGGCGAAUCAUCCUCGCCUGUUCGAAGGGUAAAUUGAGGUAUAAAUUUAGAAUUUGAAAUUCUAAUCAAGUUUUGGAGUAUUGAAUUCGUUUCGAGGACAAAAAUCUUUUAAGGUGGGAAGGAUGUAAGGAAGUGAAUUCUCGAAACUCGAGGAUUAGACUUCGACCAGAAUCGACUAGUUGUCGAGUGCGUAGGCUUCGGAAAGUCCGAAGGUGUUUAUAAUGCAUAAAGUGCAUUAAAGAAGGGUCCGCGGGAGCACCAGUGCAAAACCUGCACUGGAGCAGAAAUGCUCUCGGGGACCGGUCCCUGGCAGGGAGGGACCGGUUCCAUCAGGCUGGGAUGCGGAGGUCUCUGAUGAGACCGGUCCCUGAUGGGCAGGGACCGGUUCACGAACGUUGGCCCAGCGAAAAUAGCUGAAAUUUGGCUAAGUCCCGAAAACUCAGCUAUCGGGAACCGGUCUCUCGGACAAGGACCGGUCUCCCGGGGACCGGUCUCUCAAGCAAGAACCGGUUCCCGAACGCGAAAAUCCCUCUGCUCGAUAUGGCAGCCUUCGGGGACCGGUCUUCCCGAGUUGGGACCGGUCCCUCACUGCGAAAAUGCCCAGAGAGGGCUAGUUCAGAGGGUGAAAAGUUGAGGGGGCUAUUUGCAAAAUGGCCUUUAUUAGAGGUGGGGGACCUCUCUCCCUCCCUCUCAGCUGCUCUCUCUCUCUCUCUUUCACACUCUUUCCCUCUCUCUCUCUAGGAAAGAAGAAGAAGAAGAAGAAGGAAAAGAAAAGAAAGAGAAGAAGAAGAAGAAGAAGUAGAAGGAGAAGUCAGAGAAGAAGAAGAAGAAGGUCUUCUUCCCUCUCUCCUUCCACCUAGGGCAAGCUUGGAGCUUGGCUUAGAGGUAAGCUCCAAACCCACUCAUGGUAGAUUUCUUAGGGUUGGGUUUUGUUGCUUAGAAUUGGUUCAAAUGGAACCUAUUAGGGAUAAAUAGAAGGUCCGAGCUCGAAAUCGAAGCUCGCACCACGGAUUUCUCCGUUGUUGAGACCUAGGGCUUAGAAAUGGGGAUUUUUGAAAUCUUUGGUUUUGAUCUAUUUUAAUAGGUCGUAAACCCAAUUGCUAGGUCCCGGAACGCGUCGGCGAAGUCGGUUUCUCGAUCCGACGAGCGGGUGCGGAGAUAUCGCCGAAUCGGGUACUUGAGGGCUCGCUUCGCCCCGAGGAGUUGAAGCGGCGUGCGACGACCGCAGUGUCAAGUUUUCUACCAUCACGGCAUCGCCAAGAGGUGGGUGGUGUCCAUCCCGAAGCAAUCGGGCUCCCUUCUAUGUCUUAGUACACGUCGAUUCUUGCAUCUUGUAUUAUUGCAUUAUAGGAUAAGUAUGCAUUGCCUUUCCUUAUGUUUUUCCUUGAUGAUAUCGUAGCGUACAUUGGAUAUUUGAUAUAUUGGAUUGAUAAGGAUUGGGUCGAGAUUGUGAAUCCUAUAAUGUAGAGAAAAUGAUGAACUAUGAACGAGUGACAUCUAGUCAAUAGUAAACUAUGAACGAGUGGCAUCUAGUUGGUAGUAAACAAAAGAACGAGUGACAUAUGUGAGUCGUAAUGUAUAUGAAACCUAUGGACUAUGUGAUGAUUGUGACCCUAGAGGACAGGGUAUCCUCGAGCUUAGAGGAUUGGAUCAUGCUCACGGUCUGUUUAAAUCUUGUGUUGGAAGCCCCACACAAGUAGUGCGCUCUGGAUGUUGGUCACGCCAGGGAUUGCCUAUUUGGCCCCGCCAGACGGUCUCAGGUCCGUAGUGUGAGUUAAUUCUCCCUAUGUGUCGAGAUGGCUAGUGAGCUGUAGGCGAGCCUUCGGGUAAGCCAUGAGAUUAAUGAACAAGUAUAUGAGGUUAAUGAACGAGUGAAUAACUUCACCCUUGGACAUGAUAACAGGUUAGUUGCUUACCUAUUUCAUUGGACAUGCAUUCAUAUAUUUAUGAUUGGGCAUAGUAGCGUAGCUUCAUUUCCGCCAUUUACAGCUUUUCUUAUUAUCUAUCUAUUGGUAUAUCUGCUCAUGCCCGCUUGGACCUAGUGGGGAGAUCGGUGGAGUCGGCGGCCGAACCCACUGGGAACUAAGGAAGUUAGUUCUCACCCCCAUUUUACCACAGGUUCCAGUUCGGGUGUCCCCGGUGAGCGUGAGGAUCGCGGUAAGGGCCCGGCGCUCUAGUCGCAUUAGCUACCUCCUUUUCUUGCAUUAGCCGUCACCUUUUUUUUGUAUCUGAGAGUAGAUGUUGUAUAGGGUGAGGUUCGAGUGCUUGUAUUUAUGUUUUGGAAGAAUGUAAAAGAUGUAAUUACAUGUAUAUAUUAUGUCGAAUGAAUGUAAUAGAUAUCUCUUCUCUCUUUAUGUACUUGUAUAUGUUUUAUACUUGUAUCUUGCUCUCGUCUUGUUGCACUGGUGGUGCUUUUGAUCAUGUAUUCAUGAAUUGAUUCCUGGGUAAAUUCUUAUACAUGGUCCGUUAGUUAGCCUUGGACGGACAGGGGCGGUCCUGUCCGUUCGGCGUCUGUUCGACGCGCCCGGGCCGAACCAAAUUGGUAGCGGUCCCGGGGCGUGACAUAAAUGCUCUUCGUGUUCUUCUUCGGUCCGAGAAUAUACCAAUACGUCGUCAAUGAAUACUACUGUCACGCCCCAAUCCCCGCCAAUUUAGUCGGGUUCGGGUCACGUCAACAGACGCCGAACGGACAGAGCCUCCCCUGUCUACCCAAGGCUCCAACCACAAGUAUAAAUAGGCAAUCAACAAGUGGUUUGCAUAUUUAAUACAAGGCUUGCACGAGGGCAAGCACAACGGAAGCGAAAGCUCUAAGCUAAAUAUACAGCAUACAGGAUAUUUGAUUUCAUUUAAACCAAAUUUAAGUAAACAAAGCUAUUACAUUCCAUUCAACCAUCAUAUCUCUUUACAUUUAGUCAUCCACCAAAUACAUUAUUGUUUACAACUUUACAUCUUUAAUUCAACAAAAUAAAGCUGAUACAUGUACACCAAAAGGGAAAUGACUACAAAAUGUAAUGCAACUCCGGUGGCCGCUACCUACGGCGCUAAACCCUUGCCUCGGUCCUCCGCCACCCCGCUCGUGCUAGGUCCUGUAGGGUUAGUGGUGUGAGAACUACAACGAAGUUCCCAGUGGGCUCGGCAUCCGACCUCGCCGACUUACCUACUAGAUCUAUCUAGGUCUAAGUAUUUCAAGGAAAGAAAAGUAACCGAUACUAAUGCAUCUAAUACUAUGCCUGCAAAGGAAUGUCAGUGGAUACAGAUAAUCAUCAACAUAUGGAAUGCAUGUAUGCGUGUUCCUUUGUAUUACUUUAUCUUUCUUACCCAAUCUUACCGGUUAACUUUGUUAACCCCAAUAGCUCACCAUACCAUCUCCCGUCUACCGGGGGAGGCUUUAAGCACAACCACCCGAGGGAUCGUCGAUGGGAUUCUUCCCGUUGGUGUCUACACUUCGAAGUACACCACUUGAGGGGGAGCGACCUCCCUCAAGCCCAAGUUCAUGUGAGCCUCGAUCCAAUCCUCAAACUGAGGAUACAUAGUCACUAGUCAUGAUGCCACUCUCAUGGUGGGUUUUCUACCUAUUUAUUCAUGCCACCUUCUAGUCAUUUCUAUCAAUGCCAAUCUUGUCUCUAUAGUCAAUGUCACCUUUGUUUACUAUAGUCAAGUCCGAGUCCCACAUUCACACAUUUCUCGGGUUCAAUCAUACAUGUCCAUUUCGGUUCUUGUUCAAUCACUAUGUUCGUCUACGUUAGAAGCAUAAUAUUGUAAUUCUAACCUCUAGCCACAUGUAAGAUUACCCUACUAUGCAUGAAUGGCUAUAUAAUAACAUGCUCAACGAAAGUGAAACAGAUAUAGAAGGGAAUGCCAAACGAUUUCCGGCGUGCACCGCCCCAACCAUCUGAAGAACUACGUGUGGUUAUUAUAUUGAGGUCUUCCCUGGAUUUUACGAAAGCCGCCUCCGCCUAUAAUCAAAACGUGCUAUAUUAGGCCUCAAUGUAUAGACUAACUCAACAUUUACGUAAUGUUAAACUGGAGUUUGCCCGAACAGUGUUAGGUACCCCCAAUUAGGCUGUUCUACGGGGUCAAUUUGUCCCCGACAAUUUAGGCAAAAGCCCCAAAUUCAAGCGCCAAUAUUGUCAUUUAGGGUUUUCCCAUGAAUCGAUCCCAACCUUAAGCAACAAUAGCUUAGGAUCAACUAAGAAGCAUCCUAGUAAGGUUUCUAGACCCUUAGUCCUGGAACACCCACGUUCGAGAACCGGUCCCUGGUCGGGGAGACCGGUCCCCGAAGGCGAAAAAUGCCCAGUCCGGGCAGAUCAAUGGGAAACAAGUGGAGGGGCUUAAGUGCAAUUAUUACAACACUUUAUAUGGUCACCCCUCUCUCUCCCACAGCCAUUUUCACCCUUCUCACCCAUUUCCUCUCUUUCUCUCUCUAGAACUCCUCUAGGGCUUGAAGAAGAAGAAGAAGAACUUGGAGGAGAAGGUGGAUUUGGUGCUUUGGUGGGUUCUACAAGCUCUCCUACAAGAAGGACUUGGAGGGGCUUGGGCUAAGGUGAGUUUUUGGUAGAAAUGAGUCUAGGGCUUGAUUUUAAUCCCUAUGUUUUGGAGCUUUGGGUUGUUUUUGGCCAUGGGAGCCUUCUAUAAGCCUUGAACUCCAUGGAACCCAUGAGAUCUCAAGUGCUCUCAUGGUGGUUGGGUAGGGUUUGCCAUAGAAGCCCUAGGGUUGGUUUCAAAUUUUCGAGUUUUUCAGCUGUUGCGCAGCGAGGGACCGGUCUGCCCGUCAAGGACCGGUCUCCCGAGGACCGGUCUCACCACCAGGGACCGGUUGCCUCAGGACUUUCUGGCAGGCUAUGCGUACGGGGACCGAUCUCUCAGGACCGGUCUCUUCUUCAGGGACCAGUCCCCGAGAGCUCAAAAUCUGGGACUUAGCCAGAUUUUCGGAUCUGCUCUUUCGGGUCCCUUUAGCUUCAUUUAUGGACUCUAAUACACUUAGGGUCCACUUUAACUUGUUCCACUCCAGGUUUCGCUCGUUUUGACGAAACUCGGCACGUCUUACAAGGGACGUGGUAUGUUACAUUCUCCACCCCUAAAAUUUAGUUUCGUCCGCGAAACUACGUAUUCGGAAUCCAUACCUCAAUUCGACUCGUCGAAGAGUUGAGGGUGGCGCUCCCGCAUCUCGCUCUCGAGUUCCCAAGUCUCCUCCCGAUCACCGUGCUCACUCCAAUGAAUUUUAACAUAGGGAAUCUCCCGGUUCCUUAACUUUCUCACUUCCCGAUCCACGAUGUAAGCCGGGAACUCCUCAUAAGUCAUAUCCUCUUGGAGCUCUAUAGGUAUAUAAGUUCCCUCAUAAGUCAUAUCCUCUUGGAGCUCUAUAGGUAUAUACGAGAUAAUAUGAUCCGGGUCGUAGACAUACUUGCGGAGUUGGGAUACAUGGAAUACGUCAUGCACUCCCGCAAGCCUCAGUGGUAAUGCCAACUUGUAGGCUACCACGCCAACUCGUUCCAAAAUCUCGAAGGGUCCGAUAUAGCAGGGACUUAGCUUCCCGCGAACACCAAACCACUUAACUCCUCGCAUCGGCGAUACCUUUAGAAAUACGCGGUCUCCUACCGCGAACUCAAUAUCCUUUCGCCGCUUGUCGGCAUAACUCUUGUG